This 153-nucleotide non-coding RNA is filed under the name Pteridomonas danica. The record is from RNAcentral. Lineage: Eukaryota; Dictyochophyceae; Pedinellales.
AAGGUAAUCAAUUAAUUAUUCCUGAUACAAGAGGGAGUAGUAGUCGUGGGGGUGGUGGUGGUGGUGGGGUUUCAAAUGGAAGUUCACGAGGUAGUGGAGGAGGUGGUGGAGGAGGUAUGAGAAGUGAAAGUAGAGGCAGUGAUAUCAGUAGUG